RNAcentral lists this ribosomal RNA (495 nucleotides) under uncultured bacterium. RNAcentral describes it as "partial 16S ribosomal RNA". It matches the Rfam family "Bacterial small subunit ribosomal RNA", at positions 28 to 507 of the family's 1533-position model. The record is from RNAcentral.
GACGAACGCUGGCGGCGUGCCUAAUACAUGCAAGUAGGACGCUGAAGGAGGAGCUUGCUUCUCUGGAUGAGUUGCGAACGGGUGAGUAACGCGUAGGUAACCUGCCUGGUAGCGGGGGAUAACUAUUGGAAACGAUAGCUAAUACCGCAUAAUAGUAGAUGUUGCAUGACAUUUGCUUAAAAGGUGCAAUUGCAUCACUACCAGAUGGACCUGCGUUGUAUUAGCUAGUUGGUGGGGUAACGGCUCACCAAGGCGACGAUACAUAGCCGACCUGAGAGGGUGAUCGGCCACACUGGGACUGAGACACGGCCCAGACUCCUACGGGAGGUAGCAGUAGGGAAUCUUCGGCAAUGGACGGAAGUCUGACCGAGCAACGCCGCGUGAGUGAAGAAGGUUUUCGGAUCGUAAAGCUCUGUUGUAAGAGAAGAACGAGUGUGAGAGUGGAAAGUUCACACUGUGACGGUAUCUUACCAGAAAGAGACGGCUAACUACGUG